This 429-nucleotide ribosomal RNA is filed under the name Pseudomonadota bacterium. RNAcentral describes it as "Proteobacteria bacterium partial 16S ribosomal RNA". It matches the Rfam family "Bacterial small subunit ribosomal RNA", at positions 355 to 776 of the family's 1533-position model. Lineage: Bacteria; Pseudomonadati; Pseudomonadota. The record is from RNAcentral.
UAGGGAAUCUUCGGCAAUGGACGAAAGUCUGACCGAGCAACGCCGCGUGAGUGAAGAAGGUUUUCGGAUCGUAAAACUCUGUUGUUAGAGAAGAACAAGGACGUUAGUAACUGAACGUCCCCUGACGGUAUCUAACCAGAAAGCCACGGCUAACUACGUGCCAGCAGCCGCGGUAAUACGUAGGUGGCAAGCGUUGUCCGGAUUUAUUGGGCGUAAAGCGAGCGCAGGCGGUUUCUUAAGUCUGAUGUGAAAGCCCCCGGCUCAACCGGGGAGGGUAAUUGGAAACUGGGAGACUUGAGUGCAGAAGAGGAGAGUGGAAUUCCAUGUGUAGCGGUGAAAUGCGUAGAUAUAGGAAGGAACACCAGUGGCGAAGGCGACCACCUGGGCUCAUACUGACACUGAGGUGCGAAAGCGUGGGGAGCAAACAGG